This 141-nucleotide small nucleolar RNA is filed under the name Ochotona princeps (American pika). RNAcentral's name for it is "Small nucleolar RNA SNORA74 (ENSOPRG00000024117.1)". The record is from RNAcentral. Lineage: Eukaryota; Metazoa; Chordata; Mammalia; Lagomorpha; Ochotonidae.
CCCAGCUGUAGGCCACUGCCUAGGUUACAUUGUACCUAGGCAAGUGUUCCGCUGCUGGGAGAAAGGCAUCUAAUCGCUGGCGGGCAUCCCGGGCCUGGCUAAUGCCAAAUUUGCAUUAACUAUAACCAGCGUGCCACCAUG